RNAcentral lists this small RNA (444 nucleotides) under Pongo abelii (Sumatran orangutan). RNAcentral's name for it is "processed transcript". The record is from RNAcentral. Lineage: Eukaryota; Metazoa; Chordata; Mammalia; Primates; Hominidae.
CCAAAGUUAAUCAGUGAAUUCCUCACAUGUCCACAUGCUCCUAUGGGGAGUUGCUGAGUCAGCCCAGACCAGAAGGAGUGGCAGAGAUCAUUUGCCCCAAGAACGGCAGCGAGCGAGUGAAUGUUGCCUUGGUUUACCCACCCACGCCGACUGUGAUCAGCCCCUGUUCCAAGAAGAACGUUGGUGAAAAGCACAGAAACCAGUGACGUUUGUGGCUGUGGAAUUUCCAUGGAGAAAAGAGAGCAUCUGAACACCUGGACCAUCUUUUGCACCUGGCAGACCCUCUGCACUCCCCCCAGCGUGUUCUGUGAACUUGAGUGACAACGCGUGCUUGCAGGGUGCUUUUUGGAAGACUGGGGAAGAGGUGGGGAGGGGGUGGUGGGGGGAAGCAUGGGCGAGAACAUGGAGCAAAUGUUUUACAACCUGAACCUCAGAACUGUGAUC